This 467-nucleotide ribosomal RNA is filed under the name uncultured bacterium. RNAcentral's name for it is "partial 16S ribosomal RNA". It matches the Rfam family "Bacterial small subunit ribosomal RNA", at positions 28 to 506 of the family's 1533-position model. The record is from RNAcentral.
GACGAACGCUGGCGGCGUGCUUAACACAUGCAAGUCGAACGGAAAGGCCCUGCUUUUGUGGGGUGCUCGAGUGGCGAACGGGUGAGUAACACGUGAGUAACCUGCCCUUGACUUUGGGAUAACUUCAGGAAACUGGGGCUAAUACCGGAUAGGAGCUCCUGCUGCAUGGUGGGGGUUGGAAAGUUUCGGCGGUUGGGGAUGGACUCGCGGCUUAUCAGCUUGUUGGUGGGGUAGUGGCUUACCAAGGCUUUGACGGGUAGCCGGCCUGAGAGGGUGACCGGCCACAUUGGGACUGAGAUACGGCCCAGACUCCUACGGGAGGCAGCAGUGGGGAAUAUUGCACAAUGGGCGGAAGCCUGCUGCAGCAACGCCGCGUGCGGGAUGACGGCCUUCGGGUUGUAAACCGCUUUCGCCUGUGACGAAGCGUGAGUGACGGUAAUGGGGAAAGAAGCACCGGCUAACUACGU